CCAUACCCUUCACACCGCUACAAGCACAUCCCACAUUGGACGUCUAGGGUCCUUACUUACCCUCCACACCACUACGGGGACCUCCCAGGGCAGCCUUAUAGGAUCCAAACCCUCCACAGUUCUACAGGCACCUCCCAGGGCAGCUCUUUGGAGUCCUAAUACUCCACAACACUAAAGGCACCUCCCAGGACAGCUAUUUGCAGGUCCUUACCCGUGACACCGCUAAAGGCAGUUCCCAGGGCAGACAUCCGGGGUCCUAACUCUCCACACCGCUACAGGCAUCUUCCAAAGCAGCCAUGCACCUCACCCAACGCCACGAUAGGGGGUUGGUCUAGGACCCCCCCCCCCAACCCCAAACACACACCUCUCCCCACGUCCGGCCCUCAGUGGUCUACUAACCUCCCUCUACCCUCAUCUCGCACCCUCCGCCCUUCUUCAACUAUUCAGUCUAUGCAGUCAUUCUUAGUCCCCCUCAGCAGGAAUUACUCUGAAACCCAAAACAACAAACUCACCUAAUUACACUUCUAGCUAGCUAGCUUGCGACCUGCUAGCCUGUUAGCCUCCUAAUAUAGUCCGACUCUGAACAUUAUCCUGCUAGCCUUCCCCUCUUUGGGCCUAUAAAGGGGGGAGUAGAUUAGCUAGCCAGGUUUAGCCUAUGAUCUCCCUGCUUUAUCUGCCCCAAUCAGAGGGGCUCUGGAACUUUGAGGUGACUGAAAGAUCCACAGGGGGAGGAGGGGGUUACCGAUAAGCCACGGCUUCUUCCUUUUUCUUUAUGGGCAUUUCCUGUCUGACGACAGCACAGCACACCUGGAUAUGUUGUUUCCAAGGGAACCCCAGGACCAGUGCGUACGUGCCUACAUAGCUACGUAUAGACUGAACUCUAAUAAUAACUAAAGUCAUGUACAGAAAAACGAUAUAUGAAACCUGUAUGUUAUUAAGACCUUAUGGAAUGUUCAUACUAAUAAUGAUAAUAAUGAAGAUAUUGAUAACUUUAGUGGUGACGCCUGGUCCUCCUGGACCUGGAUUGAGUGACCUUCACAAGUGUCCAGCUGGAGGUCACCUGACUGACCGUUGUAACGGCUAACGCUGCUCUCCCAUUUCUAUCGGGAGAAACUACCUUCCUUUUUCCUUUUUUAAAAUUGAAUAGAUUUUUUUUUUUACAGAUAACGGUAGCUAAACGGAACAAACUUCUGCACACCUGAUGUAACGUGAGAGAGAGCGAGAGCUUUGACCGAGCGAGGAAUGUAGCCAACUGUAGCGCAUGAGUCUGCUAUGCAAAUCAACCUUCCCUCCUGACCCUUGACCUCUGACCUGACAGAUAGGAAGCAGGAAGUGGACACGCCACGAACGGACGCUUUAUUUACGAAUUUAAGUCAAGAAGAUACGUGAUUAAAUGCUGCUGUUGAAUACUGUACUAAGUCAUUGGCUCGAUUCCAAAUGACACCCGUCUCCCUAUAUACUACACACUACUUUUGGCCAGAGCCCUACAUAGGGAAUAGGGUGUGAUUUCCGAUUCGCACCAUAUACAUACAUAGUACUGAAGUGGUUCACUAUGUAGUAAGAAGGGAUAAUGUAUACCAGGGGGUAUUCAACUCUGACCCUACGAGGUCCGGAGCCUGCUAUUUUUCUGUUCUAACUGAUAAUGAAUUGCACACACCUGGUGUCCCAGGUCUAAAAUCAGUCCCUGAUUACAGGGGAACAAUGAAAAGAUGCAGUGGAACUGGCUUCGGGGUACAGAGUUGAGUUCGAGGGCUGUAUACUAUGCUCGGAACAGUCAAUGGAAAUUCAAUGCAAAGAGAGAGUGGAAGAAAGAGAGCGAUGGCGAAUGAAAGAAAGUACAUAGAGAGGAGAUAAAAUGAUGUACUGUUUGUGUGUGAAAUAGAGAUGAUGUGAGGAUGAAAGAGGGCUAGGAGUCGUUUUUAGAGAGCGAGUUGUAUGUGUUUGUGUGUGUGUAGGGUGUUUGUGUGUGUUGGUACUGGGUAUCAUUGCUUGGCGAACGAGGGAAAGAGGGAUCCUGUAUUUUUGCAAUAAAGUUAUUACCACUGCUCUCUUAAUGGGGCGUAACCACU
Molecule: long non-coding RNA, 2069 nt
Organism: Oncorhynchus tshawytscha (Chinook salmon)
Lineage: Eukaryota; Metazoa; Chordata; Actinopteri; Salmoniformes; Salmonidae
Source: Ensembl